GACGAACGCUGGCGGCGUGCUUAACACAUGCAAGUCGGACGGUUUGCGUAUUGAAAGCUUGCUGGAUAUGCGCGGAUAGUGGCGGACGGGUGAGUAACGCGUGAAUACCUGGCUAUCGGAGGGGGACAACGGCUGGAAACGGCCGCUAAUACCGCGUAAGCCGAGAGGUGAAAGGCCGCGUGAGCGGCUGCCGAUGGAUGGGUUCGCGUCCUAUCAGCUAGUUGGUGGGGUAAAGGCCUACCAAGGCGAAGACGGGUAGCCGGUCUGAGAGGGUGAUCGGCCACACUGGAACUGAGAUACGGUCCAGACUCCUACGGGAGGCAGCAGUGGGGAAUAUUGGGCAAUGGGGGGGACCCGUGACCCAGCGACGCCGCGUGAGGGAAGAAGGUUUUCGGAUCGUAAACCUCUGUUGUACGGGAAGAAGGAAGUGACGGUACCGUACGAGGAAGCCCGGCAAACUACGUG
This 465-nucleotide ribosomal RNA is filed under the name uncultured bacterium. Its description in RNAcentral is "bacterial SSU rRNA". It matches the Rfam family "Bacterial small subunit ribosomal RNA", at positions 28 to 507 of the family's 1533-position model. The record is from RNAcentral.